Molecule: ribosomal RNA, 449 nt
Filed under: uncultured bacterium
Lineage: Bacteria
Description: partial 16S ribosomal RNA
Rfam family: Bacterial small subunit ribosomal RNA
Source: RNAcentral
AGCGAACGUUGGCGGCAGGCCUAACACAUGCAAGUCGAACGAAGUCUUCGGACUUAGUGGCGGACGGGUGAGUAACACGUGGGAACGUGCCUUUAGGUUCGGAAUAACUCAGGGAAACUUGUGCUAAUACCGAAUGUGCCCUUCGGGGGAAAGAUUUAUCGCCUUUAGAGCGGCCUGCGUCUGAUUAGCUAGUUGGUGAGGUAAAGGCUCACCAAGGCGACGAUCAGUAGCUGGUCUGAGAGGAUGAUCAGCCACAUUGGGACUGAGACACGGCCCAAACUCCGACGGGAGGCAGCAGUGGGGAAUCUUGCGCAAUGGGCGAAAGCCUGACGCAGCCAUGCCGCGUGAAUGAUGAAGGUCUUAGGAUUGUAAAAUUCUUUCACCGGGGACGAUAAUGACGGUACCCGGAGAAGAAGCCCCGGCUAACUUCGUGCCAGCCGCCGCGGUAA